GAACGGAAGGGGAGGGAAGCGGGAGAGGCGCUGGGUUCCCCGGGGCAGGAAGCGGCGGCCGGGGGCUCCGGGAAGGGCCCGGGUGAGGGGCGCCUCCGGGUCCCGGCAGCCAUGCCCUUGUCUCCCUCCCGGGCACGGAGCCGGGGCCCGGCGGGGCGGCGAAGCGCGGUGAGGGACCGGGACAGGGAGCGGCAGCACCGAGCCCAGCUCCAGCCGCAGUCGUUCUUCAGCCCCAGCUCUGUCCUGGCUCAGCUCCAGCCCCACAGCAGUGAUUUCAGCUCCAGCCCUGCCAUCUUUAGUCCAGCUCUGGGUGAUUUCAGCUCAGGCCCUGUGGUUUUUAUUUCAGCUCUGAGUGAUUUCAGCCCCAGCCCUACAGUUUUGAUUUCAACUCCAGCUCCAGGUUUGGUAUUUCAGCUCCAGCCCCACAGCAGUGAUUUCAGCCCUGGCCCUACAGUUUUUAUUUCAGCUCUGAGUGAUUUCAGCUCUGGCCGUACAGUAUUUAUUUCAGCUCUGGCCCUGAAGGAUUUCUUUCAGCUCCAGCCCCAGGUUCAGUAUUUCAGCUGUUAGAUUUCAGCUCCGGCCCUACAGUUUUUAGUCCAGCUCUGUUAGAUUUCAGCCCCAGCUGUACAGUUUUUAUUUCAGCUUCAGGUUUGGUAUUUCAGCUCCAGCUGCAGUCAUUCUUCAGCCCGAGCCCCACAUCAGACAUUUCAGCCCCGGCACUACAGUUUUUAUUCCAGCUCUGAGUGAUUUCAGCUCCAGGUUUGGUGUUUCAGCUCCAGCUGCAGUCGUUCUUCAGCUCCAGCUCUGUCACAUCUCAGCCGCAGCCCCACAGCAGUGAUUUCAGCUCCAACCCUGCCAUCCUGAUUUCAUCUCCCACCCUACAGUAGCUAUUGAACCCCAGGAUUUCCACUCCAGGCCUGUGCUGUUUCCCCUCCCACCCCCCCCCACUCUUUAUUUCACCCCCCAGCCUCACAGACUUUCUUACGGCUCCAGCUCUGCGUUGUUUCAGCUUCAGCCCUGCAGUGUUUAGCUCAGCCUCAGCUCUACAUCUUCCUGUUGCCUCCGUGUUCUCACAGCAGCUCUGGGGGCUGUUGAUAAGGUAGUAAGUCAAUCACUGUCAUCACUCAACUAUCAAAACUGUCCCACUGUGUCUGUCCCCUGAAUAAAGUGUUCCUGUUGUGUGUGUCCCCAUUUCA
Grus americana (Whooping crane) is the source of this 1196-nucleotide long non-coding RNA. RefSeq lists it as uncharacterized. Lineage: Eukaryota; Metazoa; Chordata; Aves; Gruiformes; Gruidae. The record is from RefSeq and is a predicted model, not a curated record. The transcript is spliced from 2 exons.